UCGGGGUACUCGAGCGGCGAACGGGUGAGUAACACGUGAGCAACCUGCCCUAGGCUUUGGGAUAACCCCGGGAAACCGGGGCUAAUACCGAAUAGGACCUCUGACCGCAUGGUUGGUGGUGGAAAGUUUUUCGGCCUGGGAUGGGCUCGCGGCCUAUCAGCUUGUUGGUGGGGUGAUGGCCUACCAAGGCGACGACGGGUAGCCGGCCUGAGAGGGCGACCGGCCACACUGGGACUGAGACACGGCCCAGACUCCUACGGGAGGCAGCAGUGGGGAAUAUUGCACAAUGGGCGGAAGCCUGAUGCAGCGACGCCGCGUGAGGGAUGACGGCCUUCGGGUUGUAAACCUCUUUCAGCAGGGACGAAGCGUAAGUGACGGUACCUGCAGAAGAAGCGCCGGCCAACUACGUGCCAGCAGCCGCGGUAAGACGUAGGGCGCGAGCGUUGUCCGGAUUUAUUGGGCGUAAAGAGCUCGUAGGCGGCUUGUCGCGUCGACUGUGAAAACCCGCAGCUCAACUGCGGGCCUGCAGUCGAUACGGGCAGGCUAGAGUUCGGUAGGGGAGACUGGAAUUCCUGGUGUAGCGGUGAAAUGCGCAGAUAUCAGGAGGAACACCGGUGGCGAAGGCGGGUCUCUGGGCCGAUACUGACGCUGAGGAGCGAAAGCGUGGGGAGCGAACAGGAUUAGAUACCCUGGUAGUCCACGCUGUAAACGUUGGGCGCUAGGUGUGGGGGGCCUCUCCGGUUCCCUGUGCCGCAGCUAACGCAUUAAGCGCCCCGC
Molecule: ribosomal RNA, 777 nt
Filed under: Micromonospora echinofusca
Lineage: Bacteria; Bacillati; Actinomycetota; Actinomycetes; Micromonosporales; Micromonosporaceae
Description: bacterial SSU rRNA
Rfam family: Bacterial small subunit ribosomal RNA
Source: RNAcentral